UACGUAGGUGGCAAGCGUUAUCCGGAUUUAUUGGGCGUAAAGAGAACGCAGGCGGUCUUUUAAGUCUGAUGUGAAAGCCUUCGGCUUAACCGGAGUAGUGCAUUGGAAACUGGGAGACUUGAGUGCAGAAGAGGAGAGUGGAAUUCCAUGUGUAGCGGUGAAAUGCGUAGAUAUAUGGAGGAACACCGGUGGCGAAAGCGGCCCUCUGGCCUGUAACUGACACUGAGGCUCGAAAGCGUGGGGAGCAAACAGG
RNAcentral lists this ribosomal RNA (253 nucleotides) under uncultured bacterium. RNAcentral describes it as "partial 16S ribosomal RNA". It matches the Rfam family "Bacterial small subunit ribosomal RNA", at positions 524 to 776 of the family's 1533-position model. The record is from RNAcentral.